UAGUAAACAACUAACUGAAAAGCGUG
RNAcentral lists this non-coding RNA (26 nucleotides) under Mus musculus (house mouse). Lineage: Eukaryota; Metazoa; Chordata; Mammalia; Rodentia; Muridae. The record is from RNAcentral.